CAUGGCUUGUGCGGGAUGGUUCAUUCAAAUUACCUGGCCUAUCAACUUUCAAGUCGUAAGUCUUAGGUCUACAAUGGUUUCAACGGGUAACGGGGAAUUAGGGUUCUAUUCCGGAGAGGGAGCCUGAGAAACGGUACCACAUCCAAGGAAGGCAGCAGGCGCGCAAAUUACCCAAUCCCGACACGGGGAGGUAGUGACAAUAAAUACUGAUACAGGGCUCUUCUUGGGUCUUGUAAUUGGAAUGAGUACAAUUUAAAUCCCUUAACGAGGAACAAUUGGAGGGCAAGUCUGGUGCCAGCAGCCGCGGUAAUUCCAGCUCCAAUAGCGUAUAUUAAAGUUGUUGCAGUUAAAAAGCUCGUAGUUGAACCUUGGGCCUGGUUGGUCGGUCCCGCCUCACCGCGUGCACUGAUCCGACCGGGCCUUUCCUUCUGGGGAGCCGAUGCCCUUCACUGGGUGUGUCGGGGAACCACGGACUUUUACUUCUGGAAAAAUUAGAGUGGGGCAAAGCAGGCUAUGCUCGAAUACAUUAGCAUGGGAUAAUAGAAUAGGACGUGUGGUCUAUAUUGUGGGGUUCUAGAGACCGCCGUGAAUGAUUAAUAGGGAUAGUCGGGGGCAUCCA
RNAcentral lists this ribosomal RNA (619 nucleotides) under uncultured fungus. RNAcentral describes it as "SSU rRNA". It matches the Rfam family "Eukaryotic small subunit ribosomal RNA", at positions 275 to 894 of the family's 1831-position model. Lineage: Eukaryota; Fungi. The record is from RNAcentral.